CCUACGGGUGGCAGCAGUGAGGAAUAUUGGUCAAUGGACGAGAGUCUGAACCAGCCAAGUAGCGUGAAGGAUGACUGCCCUAUGGGUUGUAAACUUCUUUUAUAUGGGAAUAAAAUGUUCCACGUGUGGGAUUUUGUAUGUACCAUAUGAAUAAGGAUCGGCUAACUCCGUGCCAGCAGCCGCGGUAAUACGGAGGAUCCGAGCGUUAUCCGGAUUUAUUGGGUUUAAAGGGAGCGUAGGUGGAUUGUUAAGUCAGUUGUGAAAGUUUGCGGCUCAACCGUAAAAUUGCAGUUGAUACUGGCAGUCUUGAGUACAGUAGAGGUAGGCGGAAUUCGUGGUGUAGCGGUGAAAUGCUUAGAUAUCACGAAGAACUCCGAUUGCGAAGGCAGUUCACUGGACUGCCACUGACACUGAGGCUCGAAAGUGUGGGUAUCAAACAGGAUUAGAUACCCGUGUAGUC
This 460-nucleotide ribosomal RNA is filed under the name uncultured bacterium. Its description in RNAcentral is "partial 16S ribosomal RNA". It matches the Rfam family "Bacterial small subunit ribosomal RNA", at positions 338 to 795 of the family's 1533-position model. The record is from RNAcentral.